GCCAGCGCGGCCAACUCCGCCCCCGGGUGGCGCACGUGCGCGAAAGCAGUCAUCUCGGGGCGUGUCCGAGGCUCGGCGGGGGCGUGUCCUGAGAUGAAGGGGCAGGGCCGGCGCCCGCCCACUAUCUUCGCGUCUGCUGCUAGUGUAUGGUGGUUUCGGCGUCCUAAGCUCGAUGACCCUGCUAUGCAGCAUGACUACCGGGGCCUGAAAUUAAUAUUGUUUCCUAUUGAUACGAAUGAGUCGAGGUAUACCUUCUCUUGAAAAAGUGAAUGCUGCCAUACAGCAGCCCCUUACGUCCGCUUAGGCGCAGAAAAGAUGGUGCAGUCUACCCACUCAAGAACCGGCCUUGUCUGUCCAGUGUUGAGAUGCGUCACAAAAUCCCGAACUACACAGAUAACGGUUCCCAUCCUCUCAAGUUGUAAACGAGGAACUACAGCCCUGCGAGCUGAAAUCAAGACUUAUCACCUAAGUCUCAUGACUAUAAAUCAUCUGUAAUUGAUGAAGAAUCCCAAGUGUCUCUUGACAGCCCCAACUUCUGCCCUGAGCUCCAGGCUUAGUAUCCAACUGCUUAUUGGACAUCUGCCUGGAAUAUCUGGUGAUGACUCUGAUUGGAUAAUUUCCAUGGAGGUGUUGGUCCACCCAUUCAGGGUGGG
Choloepus didactylus (southern two-toed sloth) is the source of this 653-nucleotide long non-coding RNA. RefSeq lists it as uncharacterized. The record is from RefSeq and is a predicted model, not a curated record. NCBI's taxonomy places the organism in Eukaryota, Metazoa, Chordata, Mammalia, Pilosa, Megalonychidae. The transcript is spliced from 3 exons.